UCCAUAGUGAAUAGUUGGUGUUCUCGUGUGUGGAGAGUGUCCCUAUGAACUUUGCGAAUUCGUUAUCGUUGUGCUCCUUUAUUUUGUUUUUUAUUUCCUUUGCAAGUUUGUUUAAGUUGUUUUUUGUUUUCUCGGGUUCUGUAUUUUUGCCAUUUUGCUUUUGCUUUUCUUUUUUCUUUGAUUUUGUCGAGUAUUUCUUGCGGGAUUGUUAUUGUUUGUCUGCUGGUUGGUUCGGGAAUAGUGGUUGUCCUUGCUGCUUCCU
RNAcentral lists this unclassified non-coding RNA (262 nucleotides) under Bombus terrestris (buff-tailed bumblebee). Its description in RNAcentral is "misc RNA ENSBTSG00005036263.1". The record is from RNAcentral. Lineage: Eukaryota; Metazoa; Arthropoda; Insecta; Hymenoptera; Apidae.